GGUUAAGCGACUAAGCGUACACGGUGGAUGCCCUGGCAGUCAGAGGCGAUGAAGGACGUGCUAAUCUGCGAUAAGCGUCGGUAAGGUGAUAUGAACCGUUAUAACCGGCGAUUUCCGAAUGGGGAAACCCAGUGUGAUUCGUCACACUAUCAUUAACUGAAUCCAUAGGUUAAUGAGGCGAACCGGGGGAACUGAAACAUCUAAGUACCCCGAGGAAAAGAAAUCAACCGAGAUUCCCCCAGUAGCGGCGAGCGAACGGGGAGCAGCCCAGAGCCUGAAUCAGUGUGUGUGUUAGUGGAAGCGUCUGGAAAGGCGCGCGAUACAGGGUGACAGCCCCGUACACAAAAAUGCACAUA
This 356-nucleotide ribosomal RNA is filed under the name Escherichia coli. Its description in RNAcentral is "partial 23S ribosomal RNA". It matches the Rfam family "Bacterial large subunit ribosomal RNA", at positions 1 to 393 of the family's 2925-position model. RNAcentral also lists the same sequence under 2 other names. Lineage: Bacteria; Pseudomonadati; Pseudomonadota; Gammaproteobacteria; Enterobacterales; Enterobacteriaceae. The record is from RNAcentral.